GCCACAGCUAGCAUCACCUUAAGAAAGAACACCAGCGGGAGAAAUCUUAUUCUUUUCUUUCCUACCACAGGCCCCUGUCCCAGGGUGUCGGAGAUUCAAGAUUACCUCUGUAGCAGUUGCUCAUCAACAGGCUCAACACCAGAUCAUUGAAAUUAUUGGGAGUACCAGUGGAAUCUGCAGCAUGUCUGGGAGCCUAUUUUCUUUUGAGAACGCUGUCAGUAUGAAGUGAGUACAGGUGCUGAAGAUUACUGGGAAUUUUAAUGCUGUCUGUUGACUUUGCAAUGAGAACUGUUUCAUGCUGUUGAGAUGUCUAUGUUCAUGGAAAAGAAUAGACCUGCUCA
RNAcentral lists this long non-coding RNA (341 nucleotides) under Numida meleagris (helmeted guineafowl). RNAcentral describes it as "lncRNA (ENSNMEG00000006220.1)". The record is from RNAcentral. Lineage: Eukaryota; Metazoa; Chordata; Aves; Galliformes; Numididae.